RNAcentral lists this transfer RNA (62 nucleotides) under Kutzneria kofuensis. RNAcentral's name for it is "tRNA-OTHER". Lineage: Bacteria; Bacillati; Actinomycetota; Actinomycetes; Pseudonocardiales; Pseudonocardiaceae. The record is from RNAcentral.
AUGCGUGGUGGAACCGCACCUUUGCAAGGCGGGGGUUAGGGGUUCGAUUCCCCUUGUCUCCA